AUCCUGCUGACGAGUCCUAAAUAAGAAGAAAUGCGCGUCCUGGAU
Schistosoma rodhaini is the source of this 45-nucleotide non-coding RNA. The record is from Rfam. NCBI's taxonomy places the organism in Eukaryota, Metazoa, Platyhelminthes, Trematoda, Strigeidida, Schistosomatidae.